GUCCACGCCGUAAAACGAUGUCGAUUUGGAGGCUGUGUCCUUGAGACGUGGCUUCCGGAGCUAACGCGUUAAAUCGACCGCCUGGGGAGUACGGCCGCAAGGUUAAAACUCAAAUGAAUUGACGGGGGCCCGCACAAGCGGUGGAGCAUGUGGUUUUAAUUCGAUGCAACGCGAAGAACCUUACCUGGCCUUGACAUGUCUGGAAUCCUGUAGAGAUACGGGAGUGCCUUCGGGAAUCAGAACACAGGUGCUGCAUGGCUGUCAU
RNAcentral lists this ribosomal RNA (265 nucleotides) under uncultured bacterium. Its description in RNAcentral is "partial 16S ribosomal RNA". It matches the Rfam family "Bacterial small subunit ribosomal RNA", at positions 793 to 1055 of the family's 1533-position model. The record is from RNAcentral.